RNAcentral lists this ribosomal RNA (398 nucleotides) under Scheffersomyces coipomensis. RNAcentral describes it as "eukaryotic LSU rRNA". It matches the Rfam family "Eukaryotic large subunit ribosomal RNA", at positions 121 to 526 of the family's 3401-position model. Lineage: Eukaryota; Fungi; Ascomycota; Pichiomycetes; Serinales; Debaryomycetaceae. The record is from RNAcentral.
UCUGGCGCCUUCGGUGUCCGAGUUGUAAUUUGAAGAAGGUAACUUUGGUUUUGGCUCUUGUCUAUGUUCCUUGGAACAGGACGUCACAGAGGGUGAGAAUCCCGUGCGAUGAGAUGCCCAAUUCCAUGUAAAGUGCUUUCGAAGAGUCGAGUUGUUUGGGAAUGCAGCUCUAAGUGGGUGGUAAAUUCCAUCUAAAGCUAAAUAUUGGCGAGAGACCGAUAGCGAACAAGUACAGUGAUGGAAAGAUGAAAAGAACUUUGAAAAGAGAGUGAAAAAGUACGUGAAAUUGUUGAAAGGGAAGGGUUUGAGAUCAGACUUGGUAUUUUGUAUGUUUUACUCUCGGGUGAGGCCUCUGCAGUUUACUGGGCCAGCAUCAGUUUGGAUGGUAGGAUAAUGAC